This 429-nucleotide ribosomal RNA is filed under the name Chloroflexota bacterium. Its description in RNAcentral is "Chloroflexi bacterium partial 16S ribosomal RNA". It matches the Rfam family "Bacterial small subunit ribosomal RNA", at positions 355 to 776 of the family's 1533-position model. Lineage: Bacteria; Bacillati; Chloroflexota. The record is from RNAcentral.
UGGGGAAUAUUGCACAAUGGGCGCAAGCCUGAUGCAGCCAUGCCGCGUGUAUGAAGAAGGCCUUCGGGUUGUAAAGUACUUUCAGUCGGGAGGAAGGUGUCAAGGUUAAUAACCUUGGCAAUUGACGUUACCGACAGAAGAAGCACCGGCUAACUCCGUGCCAGCAGCCGCGGUAAUACGGAGGGUGCAAGCGUUAAUCGGAAUUACUGGGCGUAAAGCGCACGCAGGCGGUUGAUUGAGUCAGAUAUGAAAUCCCCGGGCUUAACCCGGGAAUUGCAUCUGAUACUGGUCAGCUAGAGUCUUGUAGAGGGGGGUAGAAUUCCAUGUGUAGCGGUGAAAUGCGUAGAGAUGUGGAGGAAUACCGGUGGCGAAGGCGGCCCCCUGGACAAAGACUGACGCUCAGGUGCGAAAGCGUGGGGAGCAAACAGG